AUACGGAGGGUGCAAGCGUUAAUCGGAAUUACUGGGCGUAAAGAGUACGUAGGUGGUUUAUUAAGUCAGAUGUGAAAGCCCCGGGCUCAACCUGGGAACUGCAUUUGAAACUAGUAGACUAGAGUAUGGUAGAGGGGGGUAGAAUUUCUAGUGUAGCGGUGAAAUGCGUAGAUAUUAGAAGGAAUACCAGUGGCGAAGGCGGCCCCCUGGACCAAUACUGACACUGAGGUACGAAAGCGUGGGUAGCGAACAGGAUUAGAAACCCUUGUAGUCC
Molecule: ribosomal RNA, 274 nt
Filed under: uncultured bacterium
Lineage: Bacteria
Description: partial 16S ribosomal RNA
Rfam family: Bacterial small subunit ribosomal RNA
Source: RNAcentral